CUUCGGGAAACCGAGGCUAAUACCGCAUAAUACCCACGGGUCAAAGGAGCAAUUCGCUUGAGGAGGAGGUCGCGGCCGAUUAGUUAGUUGGCGGGGUAAUGGCCCACCAAGACGGUGAUCGGUAUCCGGCCUGAGAGGGCGCACGGACACACUGGAACUGAAACGCGGUCCAGACUCCUACGAGAGGCAGCAGUGGGGAAUUUUGCGCAAUGGGGGAAACCCUGACGCAGCAACGCCGCGUGGAGGAUGAAGUCUCUUGGGACGUAAACUCCUUUCGAUCGGGACGAUUAUGACGGUACCGGAAGAAGAAGCCCCGGCUAACUUCGUG
This 328-nucleotide ribosomal RNA is filed under the name uncultured bacterium. Its description in RNAcentral is "bacterial SSU rRNA". It matches the Rfam family "Bacterial small subunit ribosomal RNA", at positions 147 to 507 of the family's 1533-position model. The record is from RNAcentral.